This is a transfer RNA of Asticcacaulis sp. YBE204, 72 nucleotides long. It matches the Rfam family "tRNA". Rfam says of the family: Transfer RNA (tRNA) molecules are approximately 80 nucleotides in length. Their secondary structure includes four short double-helical elements and three loops (D, anti-codon, and T loops). The record is from Rfam. NCBI's taxonomy places the organism in Bacteria, Pseudomonadati, Pseudomonadota, Alphaproteobacteria, Caulobacterales, Caulobacteraceae.
GGACUCGUAGCUCAGCGGGAGAGCACUACGUUGACAUCGUAGGGGUCACAGGUUCAAUCCCUGUCGGGUCCA